Molecule: ribosomal RNA, 486 nt
Filed under: uncultured bacterium
Lineage: Bacteria
Description: bacterial SSU rRNA
Rfam family: Bacterial small subunit ribosomal RNA
Source: RNAcentral
GACGAACGCUGGCGGCGUGCUUAAUACAUGCAAGUCGAGCGAGGUUAUUUUUUCAAAGUCCUUCGGGGUGGCGAAAUUUUAACCUAGCGGCGGACGGGUGAGUAACGCGUGGGCAACCUGCCCUAAAGCCCGGGAUAACAGUGGGAAACUACUGCUAACACCGGAUGGUCUCAUUUUGUGGCAUCAUAAGAUGAGUAAAGGUUACGCUUUAGGAUGGGCCCGCGUCCCAUUAGCUAGUUGGUGAGGUAACUGCUCACCAAGGCGACGAUGGGUAGCCGGCCUGAGAGGGUGGACGGCCACACUGGGACUGAGACACGGCCCAGACUCCUACGGGAGGCAGCAGUAGGGAAUAUUGCGCAAUGGAGGGAACUCUGACGCAGCGACGCCGCGUGAGCGAUGAAGGUCUUCGGAUCGUAAAGCUCUGUCCUCAGGGAAGAAGGUUAUUAACUUGACGGUACCUGAGGAGGAAGCCCGGCUAACUACGUG